ACGGCGAGUGAAGCGGUAAAAGCUCAAAUUUGAAAUCUGGUACUUUCAGUGCCCGAGUUGUAAUUUGUAGAAUUUGUCUUUGAUUAGGUCCUUGUCUAUGUUCCUUGGAACAGGACGUCAUAGAGGGUGAGAAUCCCGUUUGGCGAGGAUACCUUUUCUCUGUAAGACUUUUUCGAAGAGUCGAGUUGUUUGGGAAUGCAGCUCAAAGUGGGUGGUAAAUUCCAUCUAAAGCUAAAUAUUGGCGAGAGACCGAUAGCGAACAAGUACAGUGAUGGAAAGAUGAAAAGAACUUUGAAAAGAGAGUGAAAAAGUACGUGAAAUUGUUGAAAGGGAAGGGCAUUUGAUCAGACAUGGUGUUUUUUGCAUGCACUCGCCUCUCGUGGGCUUGGGCCUCUCAAAAAUUUCACUGGGCCAACAUCAAUUCUGGCAGCAGGAUAAAUCAUUAAGAAUGUAGCUACUUCGGUAGUGUUAUAGCUUUUUGGAAUACUGUUAGCCGGGAUUGAGGACUGCGCUUCGGCAAGGAUGUUGGCAUAAUGGUUAAAUGCCGCCCGUC
This 553-nucleotide ribosomal RNA is filed under the name Hanseniaspora sp. RNAcentral's name for it is "eukaryotic LSU rRNA". It matches the Rfam family "Eukaryotic large subunit ribosomal RNA", at positions 86 to 653 of the family's 3401-position model. Lineage: Eukaryota; Fungi; Ascomycota; Saccharomycetes; Saccharomycodales; Saccharomycodaceae. The record is from RNAcentral.